Non-coding RNA from Rattus norvegicus (Norway rat), 69 nucleotides. Lineage: Eukaryota; Metazoa; Chordata; Mammalia; Rodentia; Muridae. The record is from Rfam.
GGGGAUUUAGCUCAGUGGUAGAGCGCUUGCCUAGGAAUCACAAGGCCCUGGGUUCGGUCCCCAGCUCCG